ACUCAAGUAGCUUAAAUUUAUAAAGCAUUACAUUGAAGCUGUAAAUAUGACAACAGUCCGUGAGUG
RNAcentral lists this transfer RNA (66 nucleotides) under Nectoneanthes uchiwa. RNAcentral describes it as "tRNA-Phe". The record is from RNAcentral. RNAcentral also lists the same sequence under 1 other name. Lineage: Eukaryota; Metazoa; Annelida; Polychaeta; Phyllodocida; Nereididae.